RNAcentral lists this long non-coding RNA (213 nucleotides) under Mytilus galloprovincialis (Mediterranean mussel). The record is from RNAcentral. Lineage: Eukaryota; Metazoa; Mollusca; Bivalvia; Mytilida; Mytilidae.
CAUAAAUAAAAAAGAAAAUUUCUUCAAACAUUUUUUUGAGAGGAUUAAUAUUCAACAGCAUAGUGAAUUGCUCUAAGAGAAAACAAAAUUUUAAGUUCAUUAGAACACAUUCAUUCUGUGUCAGAAACCUAUGCUGUGUCAACUAUUUAAUCACAAUCCAAAUUUAGAGCUGAAUCCAGCUUGAAUGUUGUGUCCAUACUUGCCCUAACCGUU